RNAcentral lists this long non-coding RNA (973 nucleotides) under Xyrichtys novacula (pearly razorfish). The record is from RNAcentral. Lineage: Eukaryota; Metazoa; Chordata; Actinopteri; Labriformes; Labridae.
AGCAGUAAAAAAAAAAGCCCAUAAAAGUGGCACGGGGGACUGCCCACCAAGCCAGGAUUUCACCCCAGUGGAGGAGCUGGCCCUCCAUGCGAAUAAAGGGAGGCCAGUGAUGGAGGGGAUCCAGGGAGGGACGGCCACAGACUGUGUCCCAGCAACACAAACUGGCUGCUUCAUACAAGGUACAUAUUGCAGUACGACUGCACAUGGAACACAAUUAAAUAAAUAUAUUAUACUGUCUGACUUUGGAUUUCCGUGCAGUGUCUGGGAACACACUGACACUUUUGGAGCCACCAGAAGAUGAUCCGGUUAGAACAUUUGAUUGAAAUCACAGGCUUGGCAUGUCCUGUCAAAAAUCUUCAGAGAAGAUAUGCAUGCAUGUGUAUGGCAGGGGGAAGGCACUUCUGCAGCGGCGGGAUGCACUUUAGCAGAUGAGGAGACCAUCUCAGUAGACUCCAGAAGGCAUGAAGUACCAUGUCAAUUUUUUGGAAAUAUCCUGAUUUAUUUAGUCCACUGAGGUCAGUGAUUUGGUGCUAAUACAAAAUAACAUGUGUCACAGGACCCAGACUCUGCACAGCCUCCUAGGCAGCCUGGUAACAUUGUGAGUAUUGGCUUAAGUAAAUCUACAUUUUGCAUAAAUUGUGCUCUACUAAUUGAUAUUUAUUUUACAGAAUUCACAAACGGUCCGAGCUCUAUAUGCUCAAUAUCUUCAGAAGCAGAUCGCGCUUGCAGAUGUGAAAAUCCAAUUGAAGAGCAGAAUCUAGAGUCAGAAUCUUGAUUUAGAGAUCAAACGCAGGACCCUCAGGAAACUGGACCUGGAGAUCCAGAAACUAGAACGAGAAGUGAGUAUUUCAGUGCAUGCUAUACCUGUAGCAUGCUUUUAUGGGCAGUGUAUUAAUAUUUGUACUUUUGCUCUCUCUAUUCCAGCUUCCAAACAACACGUGACUGUGAAAUAAAAAGGAAAAAAAAACUGAAA